Molecule: ribosomal RNA, 250 nt
Filed under: uncultured bacterium
Lineage: Bacteria
Description: partial 16S ribosomal RNA
Rfam family: Bacterial small subunit ribosomal RNA
Source: RNAcentral
UACGGAGGAUCCGAGCGUUAUCCGGAUUUAUUGGGUUUAAAGGGUGCGUAGGCGGACUUAUAAGUCAGCUGUGAAAGUUUGCGGCUCAACCGUAAAAUUGCAGUUGAAACUGUUAGUCUUGAGUGUACAUAAGGUAGGCGGAAUUCGUGGUGUAGCGGUGAAAUGCUUAGAUAUCACGAAGAACUCCAAUUGCGAAGGCAGCUUACCGGGGUACAACUGACGCUGAGGCACGAAAGCGUGGGUAUCAAAC